AUCUAUGCCAUACCACUCGGAACGCCCCCGAUCUCGUCUGAUCUGGGAAGCUAAGCAGGGUCAGGCCUGGUUAGUACGUGGACGGGAGACCGCUUGGGAAUGCUGGGUGCUGUAGGCU
Ribosomal RNA from Cavia aperea (Brazilian guinea pig), 118 nucleotides. NCBI's taxonomy places the organism in Eukaryota, Metazoa, Chordata, Mammalia, Rodentia, Caviidae. The record is from Ensembl.